UGAGUCAGCCGGGUGACCGCGACGCCACGGUUCGCCGGGGGCGUCGAGGAAGGUCGGGACUCCACAGGGCAGGGUGCUGGCGAGAGCCAGGUCGGAGCGAUCUGACGGAUCAGGGCAACAGAGAGCAGACCGCCGAUGGCCCGUCAACGACGGGCACAGGCAAGGGUGAAAGGGUGCGGUAAGAGCGCACCAGCGUCGGGAGCGAUCCCGGCGGCUGGCAACCCCCACCCGGAGCAAGGCCGAGCAGUGGGAUGGAUGGCCCGUCCGCCGGAACCCCGGUUCCGGCACCCACGGGUAGGCCGCGCAGAUGGAUGGUCACCGAACGGGACCCCCGCAAGGGACCCGGGAACAGAAUCCCGCCUACAGGCUGGCUCACCGA
RNAcentral lists this RNase P RNA (379 nucleotides) under Propioniciclava sp. RNAcentral describes it as "RNase P RNA component class A". It matches the Rfam family "Bacterial RNase P class A". From Rfam's summary of the family: Ribonuclease P (RNase P) is a ubiquitous endoribonuclease, found in archaea, bacteria and eukarya as well as chloroplasts and mitochondria. Its best characterised activity is the generation of mature 5'-ends of tRNAs by cleaving the 5'-leader elements of precursor-tRNAs. Cellular RNase Ps are ribonucleoproteins. The record is from RNAcentral. Lineage: Bacteria; Bacillati; Actinomycetota; Actinomycetes; Propionibacteriales; Propionibacteriaceae.